GACGUAGGAUGCAAGCGUUGUCCGGAUUUAUUGGGCGUAAAGAGUUCGUAGGCGGUUCGUUAAGUCUGAUGUUAAAGAUCGGGGCUCAACCCCGGGAGUGCAUUGGAUACUGGCGGACUGGAGUGUGGUAGAGGCUAGUGGAAUUCCCAGUGUAGCGGUGAAAUGCGUAGAUAUUGGGAAGAACACCAGUGGCGUAGGCGACUAGCUGGGCCAUAACUGACGCUGAGGAACGAAAGCCAGGGGAGCGAAUGGG
Molecule: ribosomal RNA, 253 nt
Filed under: uncultured bacterium
Lineage: Bacteria
Description: partial 16S ribosomal RNA
Rfam family: Bacterial small subunit ribosomal RNA
Source: RNAcentral